This 253-nucleotide ribosomal RNA is filed under the name uncultured bacterium. Its description in RNAcentral is "partial 16S ribosomal RNA". It matches the Rfam family "Bacterial small subunit ribosomal RNA", at positions 524 to 776 of the family's 1533-position model. The record is from RNAcentral.
UACGUAGGGGGCAAGCGUUGUCCGGAUUUAUUGGGCGUAAAGAGCGUGUAGGCGGCCUGACAGGUCUGCUGUGAAAACUCGAAGCUCAACCUCGAGAUGUCGGCGGAAACCGUCUGGCUAGAGUCCGGAAGAGGAGAGUGGAAUUCCUGGUGUAGCGGUGAAAUGCGCAGAUAUCAGGAAGAACACCUAUGGCGAAGGCAGCUCUCUGGGACGGUACUGACGCUGAGACGCGAAAGCGUGGGGAGCGAACAGG